This is a non-coding RNA of Chiloscyllium plagiosum (whitespotted bambooshark), 847 nucleotides long. The record is from RefSeq and is a predicted model, not a curated record. NCBI's taxonomy places the organism in Eukaryota, Metazoa, Chordata, Chondrichthyes, Orectolobiformes, Hemiscylliidae.
CAACGACAGUGUAACUGAGUGUGUUGGAGCACAGUGACUGUUCCUACAAUAACCUCUCGGCUCAGUUCAGCUGUCACUUUGACCCCGGGGCCGCCUUAAAAUAAAGACGGGGGAAUGAGAGAGGAGACAGCGUUGACGAGAAGGGAGAAAGCAAACGGCGGAGAGGUCUGUGAUUGGUUUGAUCUGCAAGUGAAAUAUCCAAGAGAAGGGAGCAGGUGGAACACAGCUAUUCCAGGAUGAUCUGGAUGUAAAUGAACAAGGACAGCAAAUGCCUUCGAUUACCCCUCCAAACUCUAUAUGCCCACUUUGGACCUCAUGAUGGAGGGAAUGUCUUUGGUGAAGAAGCUGCAGAUGGUUGAGCCUUGAAUUCUUCCCAGGUUUAAUGGAUUUGCGAUAAAAGUGACUGAAAGACAGCUGGCUGUUCCUGGAGACUUUCUAAUGUCUCCACAAAAGAGAGAGACAAGGAGAGAGAUGUGUUGAUAUGCUGUGACUAUAGGCUGCCUGGUUCUCUGCUGUACAACUCCACACAAUCCAUGAUCACCUGAUUAUAACCAAUCAGAAUGGUGCUGUCAAGCGUUCUCCCUUAGUUCAGAACCCAUUGUUACUAUGGCGCCUGCUUUUGCUUUCACUUUUCCAGGAAAACACAACAUUAUCCAUGCUCAGGUAAACAUGGUACUGCAGCCAUCUUUUUGCAGUGUUUUUGUUUUAAAGCAGUAAAAAAAAGUCUAAAAAAUUGGAAAUAAAACAAUGUUGUUCUUGCUCUAAAAUUAGAUACUUUCCAGUUCUGAUAAUUAGUAAUUGACUGGACAAGUUAACUACAUUUCUGUCUCCAUGGGUUCUGAAUAGU